CAACUUCAGUCUGGAGUCUAGGGUCUGUUUGAACCAGGGGACAGAAAGGGCCAGACCUACAGGGAAGGUUUUAUUUAACUGCUGAUUCUUCUGCUAGAAGCAUCAAGCCAAGCUAGGCCUUGUCUCCCCAUUGAAGUGGCUCUAGAAGGCCUUGGACUCCUACCUUGUCUCAGGGUAGACUGAGUCAAGAAGGAGGAGGUUUCCUGAAUGCAGAUGUGAUGGACAACUUGUAAUGCACCUGGCUUUCUCCAAGCCUGGAACCCAAACUCUCCAGUUUCAGCCAUCACUCCCACAAGAAACCAAGAAGCACUCCCUCCAAACUUCACAGCCUGCAGUGUCUUUUGCCAUUAGAACGGGGAUUAACGUGGCUAUUCUGGAGUUUGCCAGUCCCAAAGGCGCCUACAGCACAACUCACAAGAAGAAAUAACUGCCCCAAACUAGAGGAAGAAAGUGUUAAAGGGAAACCCAUCUGCCUAACUCCGAACAGAGCUUCUCUUCCCAAACCAGCAGGAUGCGGCGGAAGUGACGACAUCUACCUAUGCCCCGGGACCUCAAGAGGCCACCCAACUUACGUUCUCGUGCUCCUGGGAGCCAGCCACCAAGUUGGAAGCUUGGGCUGGACUCCAGGGUGGUGAGAGAUCGCGGGGUAGGAGGGAGGCCUCAUGGAUGAGAGCUGAGCCACCCUGCAGCCACCACGUGAGUCCUGCAGCCCAGGGUCACAGGCUGUGGCUUUUAACCCCGAGUUCCGGUGGUUUGUCGCAAGGCAAUAGAUCAUUAAAGCAACAGUGACAGUAACCUGUUGAUGUGGAG
Molecule: long non-coding RNA, 810 nt
Filed under: Equus caballus (horse)
Lineage: Eukaryota; Metazoa; Chordata; Mammalia; Perissodactyla; Equidae
Description: lncRNA (ENSECAG00000043067.2)
Source: RNAcentral